AUUCGCCCGCCGCGCGCGGCGGGCGGGGCGGGGGCACGGGGGGACUCCUACGGGAGGCAGCAGUGAGGAAUAUUGCACAAUGGGCGCAAGCCUGAUGCAGCCAUGCCGCGUGUAUGAAGAAGGCCUUCGGGUUGUAAAGUACUUUCAGCGGGGAGGAAGGCGAUAAGGCUAAUAACCUUGUCGAUUGACGUUACCCGCAGAAGAAGCACCGGCUAACUCCGUGCCAGCAGCCGCGGUAAUAAUC
This 244-nucleotide ribosomal RNA is filed under the name uncultured Klebsiella sp. Its description in RNAcentral is "partial 16S ribosomal RNA". It matches the Rfam family "Bacterial small subunit ribosomal RNA", at positions 282 to 526 of the family's 1533-position model. Lineage: Bacteria; Pseudomonadati; Pseudomonadota; Gammaproteobacteria; Enterobacterales; Enterobacteriaceae. The record is from RNAcentral.